RNAcentral lists this ribosomal RNA (426 nucleotides) under Vibrio sp. R-91. RNAcentral describes it as "bacterial SSU rRNA". It matches the Rfam family "Bacterial small subunit ribosomal RNA", at positions 258 to 676 of the family's 1533-position model. Lineage: Bacteria; Pseudomonadati; Pseudomonadota; Gammaproteobacteria; Vibrionales; Vibrionaceae. The record is from RNAcentral.
UAAUGGCUCACCAAGGCGACGAUCCCUAGCUGGUCUGAGAGGAUGAUCAGCCACACUGGAACUGAGACACGGUCCAGACUCCUACGGGAGGCAGCAGUGGGGAAUAUUGCACAAUGGGCGCAAGCCUGAUGCAGCCAUGCCGCGUGUGUGAAGAAGGCCUUCGGGUUGUAAAGCACUUUCAGYAGUGAGGAAGGUGGUGUMGUUAAUAGCGGCAUCAUUUGACGUUAGCUGCAGAAGAAGCACCGGCUAACUCCGUGCCAGCAGCCGCGGUAAUACGGAGGGUGCGAGCGUUAAUCGGAAUUACUGGGCGUAAAGCGCAUGCAGGUGGUUAGUUAAGUCAGAUGUGAAAGCCCGGGGCUCAACCUCGGAACUGCAUUUGAAACUGGCUGACUAGAGUACUGUAGAGGGGGGUAGAAUUUCAGGUGU